UGGGGAAUAUUGCACAAUGGGGGGAACCCUGAUGCAGCCAUGCCGCGUGUAUGAAGAAGGCCUUAGGGUUGUAAAGUACUUUCGGUGAUGAGGAAGGGGUAUAAUUAAAUAGAUUAUACCAUUGACGUUAAUUACAGAAGAAGCACCGGCUAACUCCGUGCCAGCAGCCGCGGUAAUACGGAGGGUGCGAGCGUUAAUCGGAAUGACUGGGCGUAAAGGGCAUGUAGGCGGAUGAUUAAGUUAGGUGUGAAAGCCCCGGGCUCAACCUGGGAAUUGCACUUAAAACUGGUCGUCUGGAGUAUUGUAGAGGAAGGUAGAAUUCCAUGUGUAGCGGUGAAAUGCGUAGAGAUGUGGAGGAAUACCGGUGGCGAAGGCGGCCUUCUGGACAGAUACUGACGCUGAGAUGCGAAAGCGUGGGGAGCAAACA
Molecule: ribosomal RNA, 427 nt
Filed under: uncultured bacterium
Lineage: Bacteria
Description: bacterial SSU rRNA
Rfam family: Bacterial small subunit ribosomal RNA
Source: RNAcentral